CUGGUGAGUAACGCGUGGGUGACCUACCUUGAGGAUGGGGAUAGCUGUUAGAAAUAGCAGGUAAUACCGAAUACGUUCACAAUAUUAUGAUUAUGUGAAGAAAGGAGCUACGGCUCCGCCUUGAGAUGGGCCCGCGUCCCAUUAGCUAGUCGGUGAGGUAAAGGCCCACCAAGGCGAAGAUGGGUAGCCGGCCUGAGAGGGUGAACGGCCACACUGGGACUGAGAUACGGCCCAGACUCCUACGGGAGGCAGCAGCUAAGAAUAUUCCACAAUGGACGAAAGUCUGAUGGAGCGACGCCGCGUGGAUGACGAAGGCCGAAAGGUUGUAAAAUCCUUUUGCGGAUGAAGAAUAAGCGGUGGAGGGAAUGCCAUCGUGAUGACGUUAGUCCGCGAAUAAGCCCCGGCUAAUUACGUGCCAGCAGCCGCGGUAACACGUAAGGGGCAAGCGUUGUUCGGAAUUAUUGGGCGUAAAGGGCGCGUAGGCGGCCGCGUAAGUCUGAUGUGAAAACCCCGGGCUCAACCCGGGAACUGCAUUGGAAACUGUGCGGCUUGAGUCACGGAGGGGAAAUCGGAAUUCCUGGUGUAGGGGUGAAAUCUGUAGAUAUCAGGAAGAACACCGGUGGCGAAGGCGGAUUUCCAGCCGAUGACUGACGCUGAGGCGCGAAAGUGCGGGGAGCAAACAGGAUUAGAUACCCUGGUAGUCCGCACUAUAAACGAUGCACACUAGGUGUCGGGACGAGCGUCUCGGCGCCGGAGCGAACGCGAUAAGUGUGCCGCCUGGGGAGUAUGCCCGCAAGGGUGAAACUC
This 807-nucleotide ribosomal RNA is filed under the name uncultured bacterium. RNAcentral's name for it is "bacterial SSU rRNA". It matches the Rfam family "Bacterial small subunit ribosomal RNA", at positions 103 to 902 of the family's 1533-position model. The record is from RNAcentral.